GGACUUUUAGCUCAGUUGGUAGAGCAACGGACUCUUAAUCCGUGGGUCGAGGGUUCGAGCCCCUCAGGGUCCA
This 73-nucleotide transfer RNA is filed under the name Aerococcus kribbianus. Its description in RNAcentral is "tRNA-Lys". It matches the Rfam family "tRNA". Rfam says of the family: Transfer RNA (tRNA) molecules are approximately 80 nucleotides in length. Their secondary structure includes four short double-helical elements and three loops (D, anti-codon, and T loops). The record is from RNAcentral. Lineage: Bacteria; Bacillati; Bacillota; Bacilli; Lactobacillales; Aerococcaceae.